Molecule: long non-coding RNA, 227 nt
Organism: Hordeum vulgare subsp. vulgare (domesticated barley)
Lineage: Eukaryota; Viridiplantae; Streptophyta; Magnoliopsida; Poales; Poaceae
Exons: 3
Source: RefSeq, a predicted model, not a curated record
CCCUACCACCAUAGCCGAUCCUAUUAUCCAAGAUAAUGUAGAACAUGGGCCUCACCCUCCCCCAGGAAAGACAGGUGCCAAGUACAUUAUCAGGGAAGAUGGCCAGAGGCUGGAUCUUCGUUAUGUGAAGAAAAGUAGUGAUCAGCAUCUGGAGCUGGGUUACAAGGUGGAAAGGCACCUCAUUGAUGGAGAUUUUGUUCUUUUCAACCGACAGCCCAGUCUUCACA